Ipomoea triloba (trilobed morning glory) is the source of this 246-nucleotide long non-coding RNA. RefSeq lists it as uncharacterized. The record is from RefSeq and is a predicted model, not a curated record. The transcript is spliced from 3 exons. Lineage: Eukaryota; Viridiplantae; Streptophyta; Magnoliopsida; Solanales; Convolvulaceae.
UUUCUUCAACUCUUCAUCCCCUUUCCCAUUUCGUAUUCCUCAUUCCCAUUUCCGUAAGAGAGAGAGAGAGAGAGAGAGAGAGAGAGAGAGAGAGAGAGAGAGAGGGAGGGAGAGAGAAGCAAUUUUCGAGCUUGGAUCGCGAUUGGUUCGGGUUUUAAGGUGAAUUUUGGGAAAGAUCCAAGAUUUGCUUCCUACGGAAGUUGCAGAUUAGUGUGGGCCCCUGUAGCCGAUGAGCUCGGAAUAGAA